GACGAACGCUGGCGGCGUGCUUAACACAUGCAAGUCGAACGGUAAGGCCCUUCGGGGUACACGAGUGGCGAACGGGUGAGUAACACGUGGGUGAUCGGCCCUGCACUUCGGGAUAAGCCUGGGAAACUGGGUCUAAUACCGGAUAGGACCACUGCCUGCAUGGGUGGUGGUGGAGAGGUGUUACGGUGUGGGAUGGGCCCGCGGCCUAUCAGGUUGUUGGUGGGGUUAUGGCCUACCAAGGCUACGACGGGUAGCCGGCCUGAGAGGGUGACCGGUCAGAAUGGGAGUGAGAGAGCGCCCAGAUGCGUAAGGGAGGCAGCAGUGGGGGAUAUUGCGUAAUGGGGUCAAGCCUGAUGCAGUGACGCGCCGUGAGAGAUGCCGGCCUUCGGGUUGUAAACCUCUUACAGCACCGCCGAAGCGCAAGUGCAGGUAGGUGCAGAAAAAGGACCGGCCAACUACGUGCCAGCAGCCGCCGUAA
RNAcentral lists this ribosomal RNA (478 nucleotides) under uncultured bacterium. Its description in RNAcentral is "partial 16S ribosomal RNA". It matches the Rfam family "Bacterial small subunit ribosomal RNA", at positions 28 to 523 of the family's 1533-position model. The record is from RNAcentral.